Molecule: long non-coding RNA, 1110 nt
Filed under: Felis catus (domestic cat)
Lineage: Eukaryota; Metazoa; Chordata; Mammalia; Carnivora; Felidae
Description: lncRNA (ENSFCAG00000047651.1)
Source: RNAcentral
AUGGGCGAAACCACGCAGGGCUGCGUGUGUGCGUGCACACACACACACACACACACUCAUUCACACAUGCACACUCACAUUCACACAACACUCGCACACUCGCACAUACACACACACACACUCACACACUCAGGCCACACACGGGCGAAACUGCACAGGGCUGCACACACACACACACACACACUCAUUCACUCACACAUACACACUCACACCCAUAUUCACACAACACUCUCACACUCCCUCGCACACACACACACACUUACACACUCAGGCCACACACUGUCAAAACUGCAGGGCUAUACACACACACUCUCACACAUGCACACUCACUCAUUCACACAACACCGCACACUCCCUCACACACACACACACACACGUACACACUCAGGCCACACACAGGCAAAACCAUGCAGGGCUGCACACACACACACACACACACACUCAUUCACUCACAUGCACACUCACACUCAUAUUCACACAACACUCACACACUCACUUAGGCCACACACGGGAAAAACUGCAGGGCUACACACACACGCUCUUACACACAUGCAUGCACACUCGCACACACUCACACACACUCAUGCAGUCACAGUCUCACACCCACCCACACACUCACACUCGUAUUCACACCAUACUCGCACACUCACUCACUUUCACACUCACUCACGCUCACACUCUUACACCCACACAUUCACACAACACUGGCACACACUCACACUCGCGCUCACACACUCAGGCCACACACGGGCAAAACCACGCAGAGCUACUCACACACUCAGACUCUCGCACUCACACAUGCACACUCACGCACACUCACACACACACGCACACUCAUGCUCACAUACUCAUGCAGUCACACUCACACCCACCCACACGCUCACACAUAUUCACACCAUACUCGCACCCUCACUCACACACUUUCACACUCACGCUCACACACACAAGUACAUACACGCUCACACAUAUUCACACCAUACUCGCACGCUCACUCACACACUUUCACACUCACUCACGCUCACACACACGAGUGCAUACAGAACAGCUGAACUCAGCAAGCUCCGGAUUGCACUGGUUCAAUCUCGCGGCUACGACGUCAGAUGGCUGUGA